AAAUAUUAAUUAUAUUGAACUAUAACCAAUCAACUGGGGGGAAACAUUAGUUUCAUUCCUACUAAUUGUAUUCUUAUUGCAGAUCGUGGACCGCAAAGUCGUCGUCCUCUCGUCUUCUUUAUCCUUCGUGCCACCAUACUAAUGUCCUAAACAUCCAUCAUAGGCUCGUUCUCGCAUGUCAUUUUAUUCUAUCUGCAGUAUCGCUUCCAACCAUUUCCAGUCACGGUUGUAGACUUCGCAACGGAUUAUUAUUCCAUCAUAUAUAUUUCCGGGGACGUGAGGACAGGAAGACACCCCGGCCCAUCGUUUCAAUGGCCCGUAACUGCGUCCAGGAUUCCAUCCAUCAUCUAAACAAAAUCAUCAGACAGCGUAUUUCCAUCAAGUGCCAAACAUAAUCCUAAGAUAGAGAAGAGAAAUGCCCCUUUUAUACUGAUGAGCAGUGUUUAUCCAGAUUGCGUGCCAUUGACCGUGAACAUGAAGAGAAUAGCUCAUAGCCUCUACUCUAUUAUCUCAUUUAUAUAGAUUCUAGCCCUAUAUAAACUCACCACGACCAAGCAUUCAUAAACAAAGGGUUAAACUACGUGGGAUUAUCUUAUUAUGAUCUCUAUAUACAAUUUAUUCCGUAUAUAUGCUCAUCAUGACCAAGCAUUCAUAAACAAGGAAUUCCUUAAGAGACUACGUGGGAUUAUCUAUUAUGAUCUCUAUAUAUAAUAAUGGGAAUCGAAUCGAAGUUAUACCCAAUGUUCAAAGAAACUUUAUAAUUACCUACUAUUUAACUUAUUUCCUUAUUGAUAAAUUCUGUUUCCUUAAGAUUCA
This 816-nucleotide long non-coding RNA is filed under the name Camponotus floridanus (Florida carpenter ant). RNAcentral describes it as "uncharacterized LOC105250517, transcript variant X1". The record is from RNAcentral. Lineage: Eukaryota; Metazoa; Arthropoda; Insecta; Hymenoptera; Formicidae.